This 91-nucleotide transfer RNA is filed under the name Varunaivibrio sulfuroxidans. RNAcentral describes it as "tRNA-Ser". It matches the Rfam family "tRNA". Rfam says of the family: Transfer RNA (tRNA) molecules are approximately 80 nucleotides in length. Their secondary structure includes four short double-helical elements and three loops (D, anti-codon, and T loops). The record is from RNAcentral. Lineage: Bacteria; Pseudomonadati; Pseudomonadota; Alphaproteobacteria; Rhodospirillales; Magnetovibrionaceae.
GGAUGGGUGGCCGAGCGGUUGAAGGCACCGGUCUUGAAAACCGGCAAGGGGUUACCCCCCUUCGUGGGUUCGAAUCCCACCCCAUCCGCCA